Long non-coding RNA from Passer domesticus (house sparrow), 697 nucleotides. RefSeq lists it as uncharacterized. The record is from RefSeq and is a predicted model, not a curated record. Lineage: Eukaryota; Metazoa; Chordata; Aves; Passeriformes; Passeridae. The transcript is spliced from 3 exons.
GGUGAGAUUGCUUUCUGUACUCUCUGUAUUCUCUUACAUUCUCUGCUCCCACAGUGGGGGCUCCCUAGAAAUAAGAACUCUCACAAGAUUUCAUGAUGCACAACUUCCUUGACUUGCUUUCUCUGCAAGAGUGUGUGAGAUACGGCAACAUUGCAAGCACGAUCAGCAGCAUCAGUGUGAACAUCUUGGAUAUCUGCAGGAUACUCUAUGGAAUCCCAAAUGGAACCUGAUGCCUACACUUGGGCAAUGGAACACCUCUCCACCGACUCUGAGGUCAUGACUUAGAAACCUUUUCAUGCAUCAUCGCCUUUACUUAGGAAGCUAAGGAGCUGAAUCUUAUCUACAAUGAAGAAUUAUGUGAAACUGCAGUCUGUAAAUCUCAUCUACAAUGGAGAAUUAUACAAAACUGAGAAACUGGAUACACCUCCAUGAAGGCCUUCUUUUGGGGCUAGAUAUUGCUGCUCAUGGCUGUUAGGAUCUAUCCCAAGCUGCUGAUAACAGAUAAAUUCUGCAGUUACUGGAGAGAAAGGGCUGGGAAACUUCUUCCACCUCUCUGAAUGACACCUUUGGAUUAUAUUAAUACCCUGUCCCUCCUUUCUCUUUUUCUCCCAUACAUGCCACAGAGCAAACACCAGAUGUUUCAGUCUGCAAUGCAGUGCCAGCCCACAAAGCAGAGUGAAAAAAUAGUAGAAAAUAA